UCCCUUUUUAUCCCAGCCACAUGAUUCAGAAAUUUGUAUACCUGGCUCCCAGAAAGUGUCAUGCUCGAAUUCGUAUGCCAGGGAUGUCUUUCAAACCCAUUUUUAGUGCUGUUUUCCUGAACAAAUGAGGUGGCCUUUGUAAACCUAUUGACUCAGAAAAUCGAUUGGCUAGCUCAACAAGAGUUGUUUUAUCCCUGCCAAUUUCCCUGAUUGAAUUAUAAUAACCUAGCCAAGCAUGAUAUGCUGCUUCUUUGACACUACUAUCAAUCUUUGACAUUGAAUCCUCUACCUUAAGUUUAGUUUCUCGAUCUACAUUAGGUAAAGGAAGUUUAUCAAGAGGCAGAUCU
Molecule: unclassified non-coding RNA, 347 nt
Filed under: Hevea brasiliensis (rubber tree)
Lineage: Eukaryota; Viridiplantae; Streptophyta; Magnoliopsida; Malpighiales; Euphorbiaceae
Source: RNAcentral